This is a non-coding RNA of Canis lupus familiaris (dog), 500 nucleotides long. Lineage: Eukaryota; Metazoa; Chordata; Mammalia; Carnivora; Canidae. The record is from the annotation of a RefSeq genome assembly.
AUGGCCUGGACCCCUGUCCUCCUUGUGCUCCUCUGUCACUGCACAGUCUCCCUGUCCCAGCUUGUGCUGACCCAGCCGCCCUCCCUCUCUGCAUCCCUGGGAUCAACAACCAGACUCACCUGCACCCUGAGCAGUGGCUUCAGUGUUGGUGGCUAUAGCAUAUACUGGCACCAGCAGAAGCCAGGGAGCACUCCCUGGUACCUCCUGUACUACUACUCAAGUACAGAGUUGGGACCUGGGGUCCCCAGCUGCUUCUCUGGAUCCAAAGACACCUCAGCCAAUGUAGGGCUCCUGCUCAUCUCAGGGCUGCAGCCUGAGGAUGAGACUGACUACUACUGUGCUAUAGGUCACGGCAGUGGGAGCAGCUACACUUACCCACAGUGUCUCAGAUAACGAGGAGGUGAGAUUAAAACCCCUAGGCCAUUGUCUUUGGUCCUCCUCAUCUAGAAGCUUCUUUGGAGCUUCCAAUCCAGUGUAUGACACUGAUGCUAAGCUCAGUG